Molecule: long non-coding RNA, 408 nt
Organism: Cotesia glomerata
Lineage: Eukaryota; Metazoa; Arthropoda; Insecta; Hymenoptera; Braconidae
Exons: 3
Source: RefSeq, a predicted model, not a curated record
UGCUAUACUUAAGUGUUCUAUCAUGACUCGUCACGAGCUGGCGGAAAAUAUUCUUUUGAUUGGUGGAACAACAAUGGCAAAAGGAUUUUCUGCUCGUCUAAAAUCAGAACUGACGUCUCUCGUAGCAAGUGAUUUAUAUUCGAACAAAUUAAAAAUUCCUCACUUUAAAUUUCAUACCACUCCAUGCAAACCUAAUUACACGGCUUGGUUGGGUGGUGCAAUUUUUGGUAUUACUGAUUUGCCAUCUAGAUGUAUUACCAAAGACACUUAUUUAAAGACGAAUAGAAUUCCUGACUGGGUUAAUUUGAUUGAUAACCAAAAAGAACUAGGAUCUAAUUAUGGUGUAUAAAAUUGAAUAAGUUUUUUUUUAUAUGAAUAAAAUUAUUAACACAGUUAAUUAUAAAUUAU